AAUAAGUUUUAAUUAAAAAAUAAGUUUUAAUUAAGAUUCUUUUACAGAUACUUUCUACCUGUGUAGGUAACAAGGAACCGCAGCUUACGUGUAACUUCCUUAAUGCUCACAUAUCCAUUAACCUCAGAUAUUGGAGUGAGGGACUGGGGAGGAAGCCGUGAGAGCUGCACAAGGGCACGGCUUUUGGGAGGUGACCCGAGAUGAUCCAGGACCCGUUCUUACCGUGAAAAAGGCAGGUUUUAGUCAAAGAAUCGGAAAGCUCGUGUCCAUACAGUUACAAAAGCAACAUCACGAGCAGUCAAACCAGCACCCGCAGUAAAACCUGAGUUUAUUGUAAGUUUUUGUAUCACACGUUACAAGACACCGGACUGCUGGCGGACGCCGGCACGCAGCACAGCCCUGCCGGGAGCCGACACCCUUCGAAACCAGACCACGCUGCCACCCCCUCCCAGGGACCCUCCCAGCCGCCCCCUCCCCAGAGCCGGGCGGCCCGAGCGCAGCCCCCUCCCACGCUGGGCAGAGCGUGGGAGUGGGACCGCGCCACACGGGGGGACGCCGGCCCGAUCCGCCGAGGCUGCGCCGCGGAGCGGGGAAAGCGGCGGUGAGCAGGGCGAGGAGAAGGCAGGGAGCCCAACUUCGGGCAGAAACACCAACUUUUAACAGCCGCAAGACCCUGGUUUUGACCAACGACUACUGCUUUUUCUAUAAGCAAAGGAGCUCUGAGAGGCCCUUGCCACAAACAAAUCGCUCCGACAGCCAUCGCGCUCUCGAGCGUAUUUUCCAGCGGUCUCAGCCGCGGUGUUCGCAGUAACUCCCCGCCUCCAGGUUUCACCUUCAGCAUGUUCAGGAUUCCUGGUGGUCCUGAGCCCCCGUGCUGCACGCCUCGCCGUGGGCCAUCGCCCCCAGCCCUCCUUCCCCCCAGAGCCACCGUCCUGUACCCAGGGGGAUGAGCCGUGGUUCAACCGAGUCCUGAGGAAGCGUCGUUUCCUACAGAAGUGACCUGCUGAUGUCACCUCCAGACCUUGCCAGCCCUAAUUCCGCACCUUCCUCCCGACGCUUACCUGGGUAAGAGCUAUGGGAACACCUUUUCUUGUCCUAACACUGCUCCACAUGGAAAUCAAUGCUCUAAAACUGAUCUGAAGUUACACGCCGAGCACCACACGAGGCACACACCAGAAGUUAAAGCCAAGAGACCUCACAGGCAUCUAAACUUUAGUUACCUGUUUCAACUCAACUUGCAAGUUUAAGAGACUGCAUCUGACCAGACCUAGUUUACACAAAAAUCACAAUGUCAGUACAUCCAUACUGUCAGUAAACAGAAAAACUGUAAAUCCUGAAUGUUUUGACUUCAACCUCACAUCAGUGAUGCAAGCAGUUCGUUAACUUCUAAGGGUUGCUACGGGUAUGGCAAAAUAAGACACUGGUGGAAGAACUCAGUAUUUCACUGCAAUGUGCUGAUCCAAGCAAGGAAGACACCUGAGUUCAUCUACCAGCUCACUCAAGUUAAUUGGCACUUGUAAGGGAUUCAGCUUCCCUUCCACAUUCCAAGAAGCUGACCUGAAUUUGGAGCGGCAUCAUUUUAGCUCAUAUCUAAUUAAGACUUUGUCACACCCACUUCUUAAAUAGUUCUUUCCAUUACUGCUGUACAGAGCUUGCUGCCUUAUCCCUUGCCCUGUCCUUCAGACUUCAAAAUCAAGUGUGUGACGGUGCCCAACCCUAGAGGAAGGGUGCCCUGUCCGUGAUGCGAGGGUACGCACGGGACUGAAGGGAACCACGGCACGGCAGCAAGCACGUCCCCGCUCGCCACGCCUGCGCAGCUGCAGCUUCCAGAGCCCGGGGGACCAAGCGACGUCCGAACAGCGUGAGCCCAACCUGCCCCCUAAGAUGCCAACUUCCCCCGGCGGGGUGGGCGGCUGGCGGGAGCCUCCCCAGAGCCCCACCAGCAGAGCCGUGGCUGCCGGCGCCGGGGACCGGGAACCGGAGCUCAGCGUGCCGGGAGGAACGCCCCGCGCAUCGCCACGCUCCGGCCCGGCGUGCUGAGGUACGCAGGUCGACCAGCUGCGCUGAAUACUGUCUCGUUCCAAGCUUGCUUUUUCUUUUAAGCAGCCGCAGAACAUGAGUAAUAUAUACUGGGCAGGCA
Molecule: long non-coding RNA, 2140 nt
Organism: Tyto alba (common barn owl)
Lineage: Eukaryota; Metazoa; Chordata; Aves; Strigiformes; Tytonidae
Exons: 2
Source: RefSeq, a predicted model, not a curated record